CUGCCCUCUCCCGCCCGCCUCCUUCUAGCUGAUUCUGAGGGCCUCGGGACCACAACAAGGUCCGCAGCCCGAAGGUCCCCAGCAGUUUCCUUGGACAGUCACGUGCGUGUGCAGCCGAGAGGACGCUGGACUCCAGGCAGCAGGUUCUGUCGACCCCACCUGGCUGGAUCACCUCAGCCUCAGACACAUGAGCGGAACCCAGGAUGGAAGAAUGUAAUCACCAGCGUGACUCCAGUGAUGGAACUGAACUAGAUGCAGAGACUGGGGAGCAGCAGAGUCAACUCAGUUAUCAUCUCGGCGGCCGGGCUGCCGUCCAGCUCACAGAAGCCAUCUGAUCCGGAAAAGAUUUCCGACGCCUGCUGGAGCUGUUUCCAUACAGGCAGAGGCCAGUGUCAUCUCCAGCACCUGGGAGACAUAAGAGAAAGAGCCAGUGGCCUUCCUCUGAGACAAUCUCAAAUGAACAUGCUUGACCCAGACGAGGGAAGGGUCACACAGACUCUGUCGAGGUAUGUGGCAGUUGAUAAAUCAUUUUCAAUAAGCUGCUAUUCUCUUACUUAAAGCAUUCUUCUUUCACUGUAAACAGUUGUUAUUUUCUUAGUUGGGUUUAGAAAACAUCCUACUAUCCCCAUCAUUGCAACUAGUUCUGAUACAUUUAGUAUCUUAGUCACCUCUCAACUCCAUGGACUCCAUUUCCUAAGUGCCAUGAGACAUGUUCCUGGGGAAACACUGUCCCAGGCAGUGAUUUGAGAGCAGGA
Molecule: long non-coding RNA, 755 nt
Organism: Cercocebus atys (sooty mangabey)
Lineage: Eukaryota; Metazoa; Chordata; Mammalia; Primates; Cercopithecidae
Exons: 4
Source: RefSeq, a predicted model, not a curated record